UACGGGGGGGGCAAGCGUUGUUCGGAAUUACUGGGCGUAAAGGGCUCGUAGGUGGCCAAUUAAGUCAGACGUGAAAUCCCCAAGCUUAACUUGGGAACUGCGUCUGAUACUGAGUGGCUUGAAUUCGGGAGAGGGAUGCAGAAUUCCAGGUGUAGCGGUGAAAUGCGUAGAUAUCUGGAGGAACACCGGUGGCGAAGGCGGCAUCCUGGACCGGUAUUGACGCUGAGGCGCGAAAGCCAGGGGAGCAAACGGG
This 253-nucleotide ribosomal RNA is filed under the name uncultured bacterium. Its description in RNAcentral is "partial 16S ribosomal RNA". It matches the Rfam family "Bacterial small subunit ribosomal RNA", at positions 524 to 776 of the family's 1533-position model. The record is from RNAcentral.